UACGUAGGGGGCAAGCGUUGUUCGGAAUUACUGGGCGUAAAGGGCGCGUAGGCGGCACGGCAAGUCGGGAGUGAAAGCCCGGGGCUCAACCCCGGAACUGCUCACGAAACUGCCGAGCUAGAGUGCGGAAGAGGCAACUGGAAUUCCCAGUGUAGCGGUGAAAUGCGUAGAUAUUGGGAAGAACACCGGAGGCGAAGGCGGGUUGCUGGGCCGACACUGACGCUGAGGCGCGAAAGCCAGGGGAGCGAUCGGG
Molecule: ribosomal RNA, 253 nt
Filed under: uncultured bacterium
Lineage: Bacteria
Description: partial 16S ribosomal RNA
Rfam family: Bacterial small subunit ribosomal RNA
Source: RNAcentral